RNAcentral lists this non-coding RNA (30 nucleotides) under Rattus norvegicus (Norway rat). The record is from RNAcentral. Lineage: Eukaryota; Metazoa; Chordata; Mammalia; Rodentia; Muridae.
UAGGAAUCAGUUCCCUUUGGAAGGCAGUGA